GUACUCACUUCAACAGCACAUAUACUAAAAUUGAAACGAUACAGAGAAGAUUAGCAUGGCCCCUGUGCAAGGAUAACAAGCAAAUUCAUGAAGUGUUCCAUAUUUAA
Molecule: small nuclear RNA, 107 nt
Organism: Sorex araneus (European shrew)
Lineage: Eukaryota; Metazoa; Chordata; Mammalia; Eulipotyphla; Soricidae
Source: Ensembl